Molecule: ribosomal RNA, 395 nt
Filed under: uncultured Cortinarius
Lineage: Eukaryota; Fungi; Basidiomycota; Agaricomycetes; Agaricales; Cortinariaceae
Description: eukaryotic LSU rRNA
Rfam family: Eukaryotic large subunit ribosomal RNA
Source: RNAcentral
GUGACCUCAAAUCAGGUAGGACUAACCGCUGAACUUAAGCAUAUCAAUAAGCGGAGGAAAAGAAACUAACAAGGAUUCCCCUAGUAACUGCGAGUGAAGCGGGAAAAGCUCAAAUUUAAAAUCUGGCAGUCUUUUGGCUGUCCGAGUUGUAAUCUAGAGAAGUGUUAUCCGUGCUGGACCGUGUACAAGUCUCCUGGAAUGGAGCAUCAUAAAGGUGAGAAUCCGUCUUUGACAUGGACUGCCAGGCUUUGUGAUGUGCUCCUCAGAGUCGAGUUGUUGUGAAUGCAGCUCACAAUGGGUGGUUACUCAUCUUUAGCUGAAUACUGGCUAAAGACCGAUAGCGACAAGUAUCGUGAGCGAACGAUGAAAAGACUUUGGGGAAGAAAGUAAACAGA